ACUGAAUGAGAUUUUAACACGAAGUGAGUGGCGGACGGGUGAGUAACACGUGGGUAACCUGCCCAGAAGCAGGGGAUAACACCUGGAAACAGAUGCUAAUACCGUAUAACAGAAAAACCGCCUGGUUUUCUUUAAAAGAUGGCUCUGCUAUCACUUCUGGAUUCCU
This 166-nucleotide ribosomal RNA is filed under the name Pediococcus pentosaceus. RNAcentral's name for it is "partial 16S ribosomal RNA". It matches the Rfam family "Bacterial small subunit ribosomal RNA", at positions 66 to 232 of the family's 1533-position model. The record is from RNAcentral. Lineage: Bacteria; Bacillati; Bacillota; Bacilli; Lactobacillales; Lactobacillaceae.